GUGGCGUCGCCCACCGGGCGGGGCCUGAGCGGGCGCGGGGCGGGGCCUGAGCCGGCGCCGGGUCCAGCUGGGCGCUCCGCCAGCUGCGUAAACUCCACUGGAGCGCGGCGGUGGAGCAGGCAUUUGCAGCUGUGAGGAGGCAGCCAGAAGCAAGCUUUUGGAACUGAAGGAACCUGAGACAGAAGCUAGUCCCCACUCCGAAUUUUACUGAUGAAGAAGCUGAGGCCACAGAGCUAAAGUGACUUUUCCCAAGGUCGCCCAGGGAGGACUGUGGGACUUCUCAGACAUCAGAAGAGUGAUGUGACGGAGCUGUGUGACCAUAGAAAGUGAUGUGUUAAAAACCAGUACCUCCCUCUUUGAAAGCCAGGGAUCGUUAUCGUUCAUCUAACCUGCUGGGAAGAAGAACCAGUUGUCCGGGAUCCAAACCUUUCUGCGGCCCCAAGUGUUUGUG
This is a long non-coding RNA of Piliocolobus tephrosceles (Ugandan red Colobus), 451 nucleotides long. RefSeq lists it as uncharacterized. The record is from RefSeq and is a predicted model, not a curated record. Lineage: Eukaryota; Metazoa; Chordata; Mammalia; Primates; Cercopithecidae. The transcript is spliced from 3 exons.